GGAUUCCCCUAGUAACGGCGAGUGAAGCGGGAAGAGCUCAAAUUUAAAAUCUGGCAGUGUAUUCUGUCCGAGUUGUAGUCUAGAGAAGCAUCAUCCGUGCUGGACCAUGUACAAGUCUCUUGGAACAGAGCGUCAUAGAGGGUGAGAAUCCCGUCCUUGACAUGGACUCCCAGUACUUUGUGUUGUGCUCUCAACGAGUCGAGUUGUUUGGGAAUGCAGCUCAAAAUGGGUGGUAAAUUCCAUCUAAAGCUAAAUAUUGGCGAGAGACCGAUAGCGAACAAGUACCGUGAGGGAAAGAUGAAAAGCACUUUGGAGAGAGAGUUAAACAGUACGUGAAAUUGUUGAAAUGGAAACGCUUGAAGUCAGUCGCGUUCUCUGGGAUUCAGCCUGGCUUUUGCUUGGUGCAUUUCCCGGUCUACGGGCCAGCAUGAAUUUUGACCAAUGGAAAAAGGCUUGGGGAAUGUGGCACCUUCGGGUGUGUUAUAGCCCCUUGUCACAUACGUUGGUUGGGAUUGAGGUCUUAGUGCACGCUUCGGUUGUGCUUUGAUGCUGGCGUAAUGGCUUUAAACGACCCGUCUUGAAACACGGACCAAGGAGUCUAACAUGUCUGCGAGUGUUUGGGUGCAAAACCCGAGCGCGAAAUGAAAGUGAUAGUUGGGAACCUCUUCAGAGGGGCACCGACCCCCGGACCAGACCUUCUGUGACGGAUCCAAGGUAGAGCAUAUAUCUUGGGACCCGAAAGAUGGUGAACUAUGCCUGCAUAGGGUGAAGCCAGAGGAAACUCUGGUGGAGGCUCGUAGCGAUUCUGACGUGCAAUCGAUCGUCAAAUGUGGGUAUAGGGGCAAAAGAAUAAUCGAACCAUUGGGUUUGCUACUUGGGGGUUUAAAAGGAAAUCUGAAAGGAUUUAUGACCUAGUGAGCGUUGAGGCUUGCAACACUGUCAAAUUGCGGGACGUCCUAAAGCUUUGCAACCAAGCAUUUGUGG
This 984-nucleotide ribosomal RNA is filed under the name Rhizoctonia solani. Its description in RNAcentral is "LSU rRNA". It matches the Rfam family "Eukaryotic large subunit ribosomal RNA", at positions 72 to 1430 of the family's 3401-position model. The record is from RNAcentral. Lineage: Eukaryota; Fungi; Basidiomycota; Agaricomycetes; Cantharellales; Ceratobasidiaceae.